UACGAAGGGGGCUAGCGUUGUUCGGAUUUACUGGGCGUAAAGCGCACGUAGGCGGAUCGUUAAGUCGGGGGUGAAAUCCUGGAGCUCAACUCCAGAACUGCCUUCGAUACUGGCGAUCUUGAGUCCGGAAGAGGUGAGUGGAACUCCUAGUGUAGAGGUGGAAUUCGUAGAUAUUAGGAAGAACACCAGUGGCGAAAGGCGGCUCACUGGUCCGGUACUGACGCUGAGGUGCGAAAGCGUGGGGAGCAAACAGG
RNAcentral lists this ribosomal RNA (254 nucleotides) under uncultured bacterium. RNAcentral describes it as "partial 16S ribosomal RNA". It matches the Rfam family "Bacterial small subunit ribosomal RNA", at positions 524 to 776 of the family's 1533-position model. The record is from RNAcentral.